This 253-nucleotide ribosomal RNA is filed under the name uncultured bacterium. Its description in RNAcentral is "partial 16S ribosomal RNA". It matches the Rfam family "Bacterial small subunit ribosomal RNA", at positions 524 to 776 of the family's 1533-position model. The record is from RNAcentral.
UACAGAGGGGGCGAGCGUUGUUCGGAAUUACUGGGCGUAAAGGGCGCGUAGGCGGCCUUCUAAGUCGAACGUGAAAUCCCCGGGCUCAACCCGGGAACUGCGUCCGAUACUGGAAGGCUUGAAUCCGGGAGAGGGAUGCGGAAUUCCAGGUGUAGCGGUGAAAUGCGUAGAUAUCUGGAGGAAUACCGGUGGCGAAGGCGGCAUCCUGGACCAUUACUGACGCUGAGGCGCGAAAGCUAGGGGAGCAAACGGG